GACGAACGCUGGCGGCGUGCUUAACACAUGCAAGUCGAACGGAAAGGCCCUGCUUUUGCGGGGUGCUCGAGUGGCGAACGGGUGAGUAACCCGUGAGUAACCCGCCCUUGACUGUGUGAUAACUUCAGGAAACUGGGGCUAAUACCUGAUAGGUGCUCCUGCUGCAUGGUGGGGGUUGGAAAGCUUCGGCGGUUGGGGAUGGACUCGGGGCUUAUCAGCUUGUUGGGGGGGUAGUGGCUUACCAAGGGUUUGACGGGUAGCCGGCCUGAGAGGGUGACCAGCCACAUUGGGACUAAGAUACGGCCCAGACUCCUACGGGAGGCAGCAGUGGGGAAUAUUGCACAAUGGGCGGAAGCCUGAUGCAGCGACGCCGCGUGCGGGAUGACGGCCUUCGGGUUGUAAACCGCUUUCGCCUGUGACGAAGCGUGAGUGACGGUAAUGGGUAAAGAAGCACCGGCUAACUACGUG
Molecule: ribosomal RNA, 468 nt
Filed under: uncultured bacterium
Lineage: Bacteria
Description: partial 16S ribosomal RNA
Rfam family: Bacterial small subunit ribosomal RNA
Source: RNAcentral